CUCUGGGUGAUGCCCAGGACUACACUCUAGUCAGCUCUGCCCAGAAGCCCAGCUUCCUAGUCAAGAAACCGUACUACUCUAUCUCCGCAAGACUUCUCCCAGGAACUCAAUUUUUCACAGCUCUGCAGGUCAAGUCAUCCCCAUCACAACUCUUCAGCUCUCCCACUGCAUCACAAAGCAGCCAAAGAUGAUACAGAAACCAGUGAACACGGCUACAUUCCAAUGAAACUGAAACAGGCGGUCUCUGUGGCCCGCCCUCAGGAGCCAGAACUGAGAACACAGGACAGGCUUACAACAAAAUCAUCAUGCAAGUGGUCCCUGGCUGAUAACAUGCAAAAGAGACCAGGACAGGAGACAAGGAGCCCUCUUUCACCGAACUGAAGUCAAGUUCCUCUGAGCCCUCCUCCUGACAAGACUUUGGC
Long non-coding RNA from Bubalus bubalis (water buffalo), 422 nucleotides. RefSeq lists it as uncharacterized. The transcript has 3 exons. The record is from RefSeq and is a predicted model, not a curated record. NCBI's taxonomy places the organism in Eukaryota, Metazoa, Chordata, Mammalia, Artiodactyla, Bovidae.